CAUCUACUCCCUCCGUCCGAAAAUACUUAUCAUCAAAAUGAAUAAAAAGAGAUUAUUUAGAACUAAAAUACAUCUAGAUACAUCCCCAUUUAUCCCUUUUGAUGACAAGUAUUUCCGGACGGAGGGAGUAUUAC
This is a non-coding RNA of Triticum aestivum (bread wheat), 134 nucleotides long. Lineage: Eukaryota; Viridiplantae; Streptophyta; Magnoliopsida; Poales; Poaceae. The record is from Rfam.